Molecule: ribosomal RNA, 495 nt
Filed under: uncultured bacterium
Lineage: Bacteria
Description: partial 16S ribosomal RNA
Rfam family: Bacterial small subunit ribosomal RNA
Source: RNAcentral
GACGAACGCUGGCGGCGUGCCUAAUACAUGCAAGUCGAACGCUGAAGGAGGAGCUUGCUUCUCUGGAUGAGUUGCGAACGGGUGAGUAACGCGUAGGUAACCUGCCUGGUAGCGGGGGAUAACUAUUGGAAACGAUAGCUAAUACCGCAUAAUAGCAGUUGUUGCAUGACAACGGUUUGAAAGGUGCAAUUGCACCACUACCAGAUGGAGCUGCGUAGCAUUAGCUAGUUGGUGGGGUAACGGCUCACCAAGGCGACGAGACAUAGCCGACCGGAGAGGGGGGUCGGCCACACUGGGACUGUGACCCGGCCCAGACUCCUUCGGGAGGCAGCCGUAGGGCAUCUUCGGCAAUGGGCGGAAGUCUGUCCGCGCAACGCCGCGGGAGGGAAGAAGGUUGUCGGGUCCUAAAGCUCUGUUGUAAGGGGAGAACGAGUGUGAGAGUGGAAAGUUCACACUGUGACGGUAUCUUAUCAGAAAGCGACGGCUAACUACGUG